CAAGUCGAACGGUAAGGCCCUUCGGGGUACACGAGUGGCGAACGGGUGAGUAACACGUGGGUGAUCUGCCCUGCACUUCGGGAUAAGCCUGGGAAACUGGGUCUAAUACCGGAUAGGACUCCUGGCUUCAUGGUUGGGGGUGUAAAGCUUUUGCGGUGUGGGAUGGGCCCGCGGCCUAUCAGCUUGUUGUGGGGUAAUGGCCUACCAAGGCGACGACGGGUAGCCGGCCUGAGAGGGUGACCGGCCACACUGGGACUGAGAUACGGCCCAGACUCCUACGGGAGGCAGCAGUGGGGAAUAUUGCACAAUGGCGCAAGCCUGAUGCAGCGACGCCGCGUGAGGGAUGACGGCCUUCGGGUUGUAAACCUCUUUCAAUAGGGACGAAGCGCAAGUGACGGUACCUAUAGAAGAAGGACCGGCCAACUACGUG
RNAcentral lists this ribosomal RNA (430 nucleotides) under uncultured bacterium. RNAcentral's name for it is "bacterial SSU rRNA". It matches the Rfam family "Bacterial small subunit ribosomal RNA", at positions 58 to 507 of the family's 1533-position model. The record is from RNAcentral.